Non-coding RNA from Tricholoma furcatifolium, 85 nucleotides. Lineage: Eukaryota; Fungi; Basidiomycota; Agaricomycetes; Agaricales; Tricholomataceae. The record is from the annotation of a GenBank genome assembly.
GCCAAAGUGGCUCAAUGGUAGAGCAUCGCUCUCCUACGUACGCGUCGGUAGGCGGAGGUUGUGGGUUCGAGACCCAUCUUUGGUU